UACCUGGUUGAUUCUGCCAGUAGUCAUAUGCUUGUCUCAAAGAUUAAGCCAUGCAUGUCUAAGUAUAAGCAAUUUAUACCGUGAAACUGCGAAUGGCUCAUUAAAUCAGUUAUCGUUUAUUUGAUAGUACCUUACUACUUGGAUAACCGUGGUAAUUCUAGAGCUAAUACAUGCUAAAAGCCCCGACUUCGGAAGGGGUGUAUUUAUUAGAUAAAAAACCAAUGCCCUCCGGGGCUCCUUGGUGAUUCAUAAUAACUUAACGAAUCGCAUGGCCUUGUGCCGGCGAUGGUUCAUUCAAAUUUCUGCCCUAUCAACUUUCGAUGGUAGUAUAUGGGACUACCAUGGUUUCAACGGGUAACGGGGAAUUAGGGUUCUAUUCCGGAGAGGGAGCCUGAGAAACGGCUACCACAUCCAAGGAAGGCAGCAGGCGCGCAAAUUACCCAAUCCCGACACGGGGAGGUAGUGACAAUAAAUACUGAUACAGGGCUCUUUUGGGU
This 497-nucleotide non-coding RNA is filed under the name Blumeria hordei DH14. RNAcentral describes it as "Blumeria graminis f. sp. hordei DH14 Eukaryotic small subunit ribosomal RNA". It matches the Rfam family "Eukaryotic small subunit ribosomal RNA", at positions 1 to 501 of the family's 1831-position model. Lineage: Eukaryota; Fungi; Ascomycota; Leotiomycetes; Helotiales; Erysiphaceae. The record is from Rfam by way of RNAcentral.